Molecule: ribosomal RNA, 244 nt
Filed under: uncultured Staphylococcus sp.
Lineage: Bacteria; Bacillati; Bacillota; Bacilli; Caryophanales; Staphylococcaceae
Description: partial 16S ribosomal RNA
Rfam family: Bacterial small subunit ribosomal RNA
Source: RNAcentral
CGGCGGACGGGUGAGUAACACGUGGAUAACCUACCUAUAAGACUGGGAUAACUUCGGUAAACCGGAGCUAAUACCGGAUAAUAUAUUGAACCGCAUGGUUCAAUAGUGAAAGACGGUUUUGCUGUCACUUAUAGAUGGAUCCGCGCCGCAUUAGCUAGUUGGUAAGGUAACGGCUUACCAAGGCAACGAUGCGUAGCCGACCUGAGAGGGUGAUCGGCCACACUGGAACUGAGACACGGUCCAG